RNAcentral lists this transfer RNA (75 nucleotides) under Bacteriophage sp. RNAcentral's name for it is "tRNA-Lys". It matches the Rfam family "tRNA". Rfam says of the family: Transfer RNA (tRNA) molecules are approximately 80 nucleotides in length. Their secondary structure includes four short double-helical elements and three loops (D, anti-codon, and T loops). Further hydrogen bonds mediate the characteristic L-shaped molecular structure. tRNAs have two regions of fundamental functional importance: the anti-codon, which is responsible for specific mRNA codon recognition, and the 3' end, to which the tRNAs corresponding amino acid is attached (by aminoacyl-tRNA synthetases). tRNAs cope with the degeneracy of the genetic code in two manners: having more than one tRNA (with a specific anti-codon) for a particular amino acid; and 'wobble' base-pairing, i.e. permitting non-standard base-pairing at the 3rd anti-codon position. The record is from RNAcentral. RNAcentral also lists the same sequence under 1 other name.
UGUUCGGUAGCUUCAAGUCUGGUAAAAGCACGUACUUUUAAUACGAGAGAGCUGGUUCAAAUCCAGUCCGAACAC